Molecule: ribosomal RNA, 627 nt
Filed under: uncultured Russulaceae
Lineage: Eukaryota; Fungi; Basidiomycota; Agaricomycetes; Russulales; Russulaceae
Description: LSU rRNA
Rfam family: Eukaryotic large subunit ribosomal RNA
Source: RNAcentral
UAAGCGGAGGAAAAGAAACUAACAAGGAUUCCCCUAGUAACUGCGAGUGAAGCGGGAAAAGCUCAAAUUUAAAAUCUGGUGGUCUUUGGCCAUCCGAGUUGUAAUUUAGAGAAGUGUCUUCCGCGCUGGACCGUGCACAAGUCUCCUGGAAUGGAGCGUCAUAGAGGGUGAGAAUCCCGUCUUUGGCAUGGACACACCAGGGCUUUUGUGAUGCGCUCUCGAAGAGUCGAGUUGUUUGGGAAUGCAGCUCAAAAUGGGUGGUGAACUCCAUCUAAAGCUAAAUAUUGGCGAGAGACCGAUAGCGAACAAGUACCGUGAGGGAAAGAUGAAAAGCACUUUGGAAAGAGAGUGAAACAGUACGUGAAAUUGUUGAAAGGGAAACGCUUGAAGUCAGUCACGUCGACCGAGACUCAGCCUUGCCUCGGCUUGGUGUACCUCUCGGCUGACGGGUCAGCAUCAAUUUUGCCCCUUGGAUAAUGGCGAGGGAAAUGUGACACCUUUAUGGUGUGUUAUAGUCUCUCGUCGCAUGCAAGGGUUGGGAUUGAGGAACUCAGCACGCGCCUUUUGGUGUCGGGGCUUUGCCCACGAUACGUGCUUAGGAUGUUGGCAUAAUGGCUUUAAACGACC